AGAGUUUGAUCAUGGCUCAGGAUGAACGCUAGCGGCAGGCUUAACACAUGCAAGUCGAGGGGUAUUGGUUUUCGGACCAAGAGACCGGCGCACGGGUGCGUAACGCGUAUGCAAUCUACCUUUUGCAGAGGGAUAGCCCAGAGAAAUUUGGAUUAAUACCUCAUAGUAUAGUACAAUCGCAUGAUUGAACUAUUAAAGUCACAACGGCAAAAGAUGAGCAUGCGUCCCAUUAGCUAGAUGGUAAGGUAACGGCUUACCAUGGCAACGAUGGGUAGGGGUCCUGAGAGGGAGAUCCCCCACACUGGUACUGAGACACGGACCAGACUCCUACGGGAGGCAGCAGUGAGGAAUAUUGGACAAUGGGCGCAAGCCUGAUCCAGCCAUGCCGCGUGCAGGAUGACGGUCCUAUGGAUUGUAAACUGCUUUUGCACAGGAAGAAACACUCGGUCGUGACCGAGCUUGACGGUACUGGAGAAUAAG
This 480-nucleotide ribosomal RNA is filed under the name uncultured Flavobacterium sp. Its description in RNAcentral is "bacterial SSU rRNA". It matches the Rfam family "Bacterial small subunit ribosomal RNA", at positions 8 to 490 of the family's 1533-position model. Lineage: Bacteria; Pseudomonadati; Bacteroidota; Flavobacteriia; Flavobacteriales; Flavobacteriaceae. The record is from RNAcentral.